Molecule: ribosomal RNA, 400 nt
Filed under: uncultured bacterium
Lineage: Bacteria
Description: bacterial SSU rRNA
Rfam family: Bacterial small subunit ribosomal RNA
Source: RNAcentral
UGAGGAAUAUUGCGCAAUGGGGGCAACCCUGACGCAGCAACGCCGCGUGAGUGAGGAAGGUUUUCGGACCGUAAAGCUCUGUCGAGUGGGAAGAAGUGUAUCAUGGCUAAUAUCCGUGAUAUUUGACGGUACCGCUAGAGGAAGCACCGGCUAACUCCGUGCCAGCAGCCGCGGUAAUACGGGGGGUGCAAGCGUUGUUCGGAAUUAUUGGGCGUAAAGAGCGUGUAGGCGGCCGAGCAAGUCAGAUGUGAAAUCCCCGGGCUUAACCCGGGAAGUGCAUUUGAAACUGCUAGGCUUGAGUAGGGGAGAGGAAAGUGGAAUUCCUGGUGUAGAGGUGAAAUUCGUAGAUAUCAGGAGGAACACCGGUGGCGAAGGCGACUUUCUGGCCCUAUACUGACGC